UACGGAGGAGGCAAGCGUUAUCCGGAAUUAUUGGGCGUAAAGCGUCCGUAGGUGGCAGUUCAAGUCCAUUGUUAAAGCGUGAGGCUUAACCUCAUAUCGGCAGUGGAAACUGAACAGCUAGAGUGCGACAGGGGCAAGGGGAAUUCCUAGUGUAGCGGUGAAAUGCGUAGAGAUUAGGAAGAACACCGGUGGCGAAAGCGCCUUGCUGGGUCUGCACUGACACUGAUGGACGAAAGCUAGGGGAGCGAAAGGG
This 253-nucleotide ribosomal RNA is filed under the name uncultured prokaryote. Its description in RNAcentral is "partial 16S ribosomal RNA". It matches the Rfam family "Bacterial small subunit ribosomal RNA", at positions 524 to 776 of the family's 1533-position model. The record is from RNAcentral.